GACAGAGGUCCCAAGCGUUAGGCGGAAUCACUGGGCUUAAAGCGUGUGUAGGCGGAUUUGUAAGUACCUUGUGAAAUCCCACGGCUCAACCGUGGAACUGCUUGGUAUACUGCUUAUCUUGGGCCAUCUAGGGGCGAGCGGAACAAACGGUGGAGCGGUGAAAUGCGUAGAUAUCGUUUGGAACGCCAAUGGUGAAAACAGCUCGCUGGGGAUGGGCCGACGCUGAGAUACGAAAGCCAGGGGAGCGAACGGG
This 253-nucleotide ribosomal RNA is filed under the name uncultured bacterium. Its description in RNAcentral is "partial 16S ribosomal RNA". It matches the Rfam family "Bacterial small subunit ribosomal RNA", at positions 524 to 776 of the family's 1533-position model. The record is from RNAcentral.